This 68-nucleotide transfer RNA is filed under the name Macrostemum radiatum. RNAcentral describes it as "tRNA-Gln". Lineage: Eukaryota; Metazoa; Arthropoda; Insecta; Trichoptera; Hydropsychidae. The record is from RNAcentral.
UAUAUUUGAGUGUUUAAGCAUUUAAAAUUUUGAUUUUUAAGGAAUUGAUUAAUUUUCAAUUAAUAUAA